CACCACUAGAGCACGCUGUUUCUCUAGUAUGCCCGGAAGUCAACAGAAAGUUAAACGGAACUGGAAGCGUUGCUCUGAGCACAUGCAUCUCGUUAGCUCUCAGCGGGAGGAAGGUUUAAGCUGCAAUGAUCCGUCGGGAAGAAUGGUUACCGGCAUGCCUGCUGGGUGGAACAUUGUAGCAUCGAUUUUUCUUACAGUAGCAUUUCACUACAUCAAUGGACAGUUGGUUUUAACUGAGGCCAUUUCUCAAACAGAGAGAACACCAAUAAGAUCAGCCUCCGGAUCGAUCAGACUCAGACUAAAAUCCAUAACAGAUGCAAUGAUGGAAGGACAGAAGAGUGGAAAAACCCAAGGAGGGGAUGGAGUAAGGGCACCAGAAAUAAAGGAAAAAGGGAGGAUAUGAGGGAUGAACGGAGGAAUUUUCCAGACUGCACAUGAACCCUGGAUUUCUCAUUAACUACGUACUUUUCAUGUAAGAUGUAAGAAGGAAGGCGGAAAGAAUAACAGGAAGGAAAAUAAAGUUGGAAAAAACAAAAGCGGUACAGGACAGAGGACCAGAAGCAGCAGGUCAGCACUAAUGGUCAGUGACAUGGCACUGUGGCUGGGCUUGGCGCAAGCGUCUGAACUGCUGAAAUAUUUACACAGCUUACAGAACGAGAGGCUCAUUCACUUCAAAUCAGUUGGAGCAGAGAGGCAGAGAGCCAGAACACUCUUCCACCUCUUCACUUACUGAGGCAACAGCAUGCAGUUCAAAUGGAUAGCAGCACAUGAAUAAUGUGCACGUGUGACUUUUUGUUUUACUUAUUUAUUUUUGCCCCAGUGUGUUAGGACGCUCUCUUCUUCAUUUUGUUAAAGGUUUAAAGAUUAAGUCUAUUUGACCCUGUUAUAUCGAUGUCUUAUUUCUGCAUGCAUUUGUUAUAUACACAAAUAUACAUUUGUGUCCCCAUGCAAGCAGUCUUGCCCGCGUGGGUGUUUGAAAGUGAACUUUCCAAUCCCCAAGGAGCUUUUUUUGUGUCUCCUUGUCAGCUUUAAAAGUUAGGGGUCAAACCAGCACGCACCUAACACAAGCCAACUCCACUUGCUGUUACCACGACACCAGAGGGCAUAAACAUAAACUGAAAACUGUCUCAUUUUCCUAAUGAUAGUUCAGGUAAACUCCUCAUGUUUGUAUCAGCUGGACAGAUAGUUAAAGCAAUGCGAGACAAUGUGCUUUUUUACAUAAUAUUUUCCCUCUCACUUGAAAGUUACUGACCCUUUCUCACCUUUUUUCCUACCUUUUGUUUUCUUCCUUGCAAGCGGUCUAAGAUGGGCAUAUCCACAAGCAUAGUGCUUGCUAAGCAAGUCUGCCAGCUCCAGUUUAAUAUUUAAUUGUGGAUCUAUAUAUACAACCAUGUAUACUGUACACACUGACAUGUUCAGACAAUUUGGCUGGGGACUAGACUUGGCCCCAUUUCAGCUUGAUUGGUAUUGAUCAUAGCAGGCCAAUCAGAAACUUAAAAACUGGAAUUUUUUUCUGAUUAGUGAGCAAACCAUACAAAGCUCUACCAGCUCUCAGGAAUAACACUGCUGAAAAGGAAGUUGCUACUGAUUGAAAAAUGCUCAAUUUAGAUAUUUUCUGUAUCAGCAAGGUGUUUAAAAAUAAAGUCUGAAAAGCACAGAAGGAGCAAGAAGCUUUUAAAAGGAAACCAACUUGUCUGAAGUUCAUUCAGGCUGUGAAAAAGCAUGAGAGAAUGAGACUGAUCCUAUUACAGCCAAAUUGCACUAUUUGCACUAUCCUUUAAAGCUUUCAACCUCUGUGUGUAAUUUUGGAUUUUAGACACUGAAAGAAAUUUAGGAAUAUCAGAUUGAAUGUAAGGAACACAAGCUGUUUUAACAAUGCUCAUUGUGUUAACUGCUAAUAUAAGACACUAAAGACAGUUUAAAAUGUCAAUCUGUAAUAAUUUUGUCUUUGUUUUAAAAUUGUUUUACAGCCACUGCUCAAAUAUACGGGCUCAUAUUGUCUUUGCAAAAUAAAUGAUAAACGUGUUGAGAGCUUACAUCUUUUAUGCUGAAGUUGUUAAAGAGAAAUAGGACAAUCCUAAAGUCAGUACUGGCAGGCUAAAGCUUUAAAACAUCAAAGAUCGAAUAUCAGUCAAGAAAGUCUGAAUGGUGCAUCCCUAAUGAAUGCACUAAUGUACUAACACCUGUGAAAUCCUCUGUAAAAGUUAAUAGGCUCUUAAAUAUAGCUUAUUUAUUUCCUUAUUGCACCUCAAUGUAGAUGUUGUGAUAUAUCCAAGACUUCCAGCAGUGAGCUAAGAGCCAGUGGCUCACUGAGAACAGAAGCCUUGGACAUAUUUUGUGAAAAAGAAAUAUCAACUGUGUAUUGCGGAGUUCACUCAGAUCAACUGAGUCUACACUCUUUGUAGGAUGCAUAUCCAUGCACACCAUUUUACAGCCCAAAUCUGUCAAAAUCCUGGGGAUUUUCUCUUGAAUUUUAUGAUUUUUGUUUCAUGCUUCGAUAUUUAGUGAUUAAUUUUGCUCCUGAUGAAUUCAAGUCUGCUCAGAAACCAUCUGUGCAAUUUUGCAAACAACUUCUUUCUCCUGAACAAGAGGCAAGGGGUGUCCAAUGGUGUGAGCAUACUCCUCCUCAUAGGUGAGCUGUUUGGAUUCUCCAAACAUACAUGUGCUGUUAAAUGACUAUACUUGGGUUAGCUGCAUUACAUACAUUUUUAUUUAAAAGACUGGUCUUGGUCUCAAGACCGGUCUUAAGACUGGCCUCGAGACCGGUCUUGCGACCAAGACCAAGUCAUGGUCAUUUCAAAGUCAUGGUCUUCUCUUGGUGUCGGACAUGCUAGGCUCAGUAUGUUUUGUUCAAGACUUAGACCAAAACCACAGCUGCAGCAUCCCUUUUUUUCUGCAAUUUGUGUGAAAGUCCCGUCUGCAUUCAAAUGCAACCAUAAAGUUUUUUUACUUUGAAAGUUUUAUUGCUGUAACCUCUGCCUCUGCAUGCUUACAUUUAAUUUUUUGUUCCCCUAAAUGUUGAUGAGUUGCCACAGACAAAUUACCUUUAAAUCUUUGUAACAAAGAACUGUUAUGAUUACAGCAACAAUCCUUAAAAUGAGGUCUGCCUUGGUCUUGGACUUGGCCUCUCCUCUCUUAAAGUCUUGGUCUUGUCUUGGUAUUGAUUUGGUCUUGGGUUAGGUCUUGACUGCAACAUUAGUAUCAAUAAUGAACUGUUUCUAAUAUUUCUAUUAAAAAGCUAAGAGUACAUUCUCAACAGUACUAUGAUGUAAGUUUUGUGUCCGUGUGCUCUUUGGAAAAUAAAUUAUACAAAGGUUGUUUGUUCCCCAUCUG
RNA transcript from Girardinichthys multiradiatus, 3333 nucleotides. RefSeq lists it as uncharacterized. NCBI's taxonomy places the organism in Eukaryota, Metazoa, Chordata, Actinopteri, Cyprinodontiformes, Goodeidae. The record is from RefSeq and is a predicted model, not a curated record. The transcript is spliced from 6 exons.